RNAcentral lists this ribosomal RNA (953 nucleotides) under Peronospora aquatica. RNAcentral's name for it is "LSU rRNA". It matches the Rfam family "Eukaryotic large subunit ribosomal RNA", at positions 83 to 850 of the family's 3401-position model. Lineage: Eukaryota; Oomycota; Peronosporomycetes; Peronosporales; Peronosporaceae. The record is from RNAcentral.
GUAACGGCGAGUGAAGCGGGAUGAGCUCAAGCUUAAAAUCUCCAUACAAGUUUUGUAUGGCGAAUUGUAGUCUAUAGAGGCGUGGUCAGUGUGAGCACUUGGGGCAAGUUCCUUGGAACAGGACAGCAUGGAGGGUGAUACUCCCGUUUAUCCCUAAGUAGCUUGUGCGUACGACCCGUUUUCUUUGAGUCGCGUUGUUUGAGAAUGCAGCGCAAAGUAGGUGGUAAAUUCCAUCUAAAGCUAAAUAUUGGUGCGAGACCGAUAGCGAACAAGUACCGUGAGGGAAAGAUGAAAAGAACUUUGAAAAGAGAGUUAAAGAGUACCUGAAACUGCUGAAAGGGAACCGAAUCGUUUCCAGUGUCUAUAAUCCGUGGUAUAUUUCAUUGGCGAGUGUGUGCGUGCGUGUGUUCUGGAAGCGGCUAUUGCUGCGCUAGUCGCGUGUGUUGUGUGUGCUUGUUGGUGCCCUGUGCUGCGGUGGGACGUCAAAGUCAGUUCUUAUACUGUGUGAGAUGGCUGCUAUGGAGGUAGGGCUUACGCUUGCGUUUGUCUGUUAUAUCCUGGUAGUGUCUCGCGGUUGGGACUGAGGUGCCUACAACGUGCUUUUGAGUGGGCUUGUAACUUUGUUUACGAAACAUGCAGAUUGCUUGCAAUGUGUGUGUGGCUUGAAUGAAUUAUUGCAAGCUUUAACUCGUUGCCAUUCGGGACUUUGACGAAAUGGNNNNNNNNNNNNNGUCUUGAAACACGGACCAAGGAGUCUAACAUAUGUGCAAGUGUUAGGGUGUGGAAACCCCAGCGCAAAAUGAAAGUGAAGGGCAGCGAAGUGUCUUAGGUAGGAAACGUUGUGUUACGGUGUGGCACUAUCGACCGAUCAUGAACCUUCGUGGUGAAAGAUUUGAGUUUGAGCACAUAUGUUGGUACCCGAAAGAUGGUGAACUAUGCCUGAGUCGGGUGAA